RNAcentral lists this ribosomal RNA (218 nucleotides) under uncultured bacterium. Its description in RNAcentral is "partial 16S ribosomal RNA". It matches the Rfam family "Bacterial small subunit ribosomal RNA", at positions 57 to 305 of the family's 1533-position model. The record is from RNAcentral.
GCAAGUCGAGCGCACCUUCGGGUGAGCGGCGGACGGGUGAGUAACGCGUGGGAAUAUGCCCUUCUCUACGGAAUAGCCUCGGGAAACUGAGAGUAAUACCGUAUACGCCCUUCGGGGGAAAGAUUUAUCGGAGAAGGAUCGGCCCGCGUUAGAUUAGAUAGUUGGUGGGGUAACGGCCUACCAAGUCUACGAUCCAUAGCUGGUCUUAGAGGAUGAUC